GGAUCCAGACUUUGAUCAUGGCUCAGGAUGAACGCUAGCUACAGGCUUAACACAUGCAAGUCGAGGGGCAGCGGUAUCGAAAGCUUGCUUUCGGUAGCCGGCGACCGGCGCACGGGUGAGUAACGCGUAUCGAACCUGCCUCAUACUCGGGAAUAGCCUUGCGAAAGUAAGAUUAAUGCCCGGUGUUUUCAGAGUCCCGCAUGAGGCUUUGAACAAAGAUUUAUCGGUAUGAGAUGGCGAUGCGUCCCAUUAGCUUGUUGGCGGGGUAACGGCCCACCAAGGCAUCGAUGGGUAGGGGUUCUGAGAGGAAGGACCCCCACAUUGGAACUGAGACACGGUCCAAACUCCUACGGGAGGCAGCAGUGAGGAAUAUUGGUCAAUGGGCGGAAGCCUGAACCAGCCAAGUAGCGUGCAGGAAGACGGCCCUCCGGGUUGUAAACUGCUUUUAGUUGGGAAUAAAACGGGGCUCGUGAGCCCCCUUGCAUGUACCAUCAGAAAAAGGACCGGCUAAUUCCGUGCCAGCAGCCGCGGUAAUACGGAAGGUCCGGGCGUUAUCCGGAUUUAUUGGGUUUAAAGGGAGCGCAGGCGGACCUUUAAGUCAGCUGUGAAAUACGGCGGCUCAACCGUCGAACUGCAGUUGAUACUGGAGGUCUUGAGUGCACACAGGGAUGCUGGAAUUCAUGGUGUAGCGGUGAAAUGCUCAGAUAUCAUGAAGAACUCCGAUCGCGAAGGCAGGCAUCCGGGGUGCAACUGACGCUGAGGCUCGAAAGUGCGGGUAUCAAACAGGAUUAGAUACCCUGGUAGUCCGCACAGUAAACGAUGAAUACUCGCGGUUUGCGAUACAAUGUAAGCCGCCAAGCGAAAGCGUUAAGUAUUCCACCUGGGGAGUACGCCGGCAACGGUGCAACUCAAAUGAAUUGACGG
This 924-nucleotide ribosomal RNA is filed under the name uncultured Bacteroidota bacterium. RNAcentral describes it as "bacterial SSU rRNA". It matches the Rfam family "Bacterial small subunit ribosomal RNA", at positions 1 to 916 of the family's 1533-position model. Lineage: Bacteria; Pseudomonadati; Bacteroidota. The record is from RNAcentral.